Molecule: transfer RNA, 80 nt
Filed under: Lachnospiraceae bacterium
Lineage: Bacteria; Bacillati; Bacillota; Clostridia; Lachnospirales; Lachnospiraceae
Description: tRNA-Leu
Rfam family: tRNA
About the family: Transfer RNA (tRNA) molecules are approximately 80 nucleotides in length. Their secondary structure includes four short double-helical elements and three loops (D, anti-codon, and T loops). Further hydrogen bonds mediate the characteristic L-shaped molecular structure. tRNAs have two regions of fundamental functional importance: the anti-codon, which is responsible for specific mRNA codon recognition, and the 3' end, to which the tRNAs corresponding amino acid is attached (by aminoacyl-tRNA synthetases). tRNAs cope with the degeneracy of the genetic code in two manners: having more than one tRNA (with a specific anti-codon) for a particular amino acid; and 'wobble' base-pairing, i.e. permitting non-standard base-pairing at the 3rd anti-codon position.
Source: RNAcentral
GCGGAUGUGGCGGAAUGGCAGACGCGCUAGACUUAGGAUCUAGUGUCCCAGACGUGCAGGUUCAAGUCCUGUCAUCCGCA